GAUGAACGCUAGCUACAGGCUUAACACAUGCAAGUCGCGGGGCAGCAUGGGGGUUGCUUGCAAUCCCCGAUGGCGACCGGCGCACGGGUGAGUAACGCGUAUCCAACCUGCCUUCACCACGGGAUAACCCGGCGAAAGUCGGACUAAUACCGUAUGUUGUCCAUUGACGGCAUCCGUUUUGGACGAAAGGUUUGGCGGUGAAGGAUGGGGAUGCGUCCGAUUAGCUGGACGGCGGGGUGACGGCCCACCGUGGCGACGAUCGGUAGGGGUUCUGAGAGGAAGGUCCCCCACACUGGAACUGAGACACAGUCCAGACUCCUACGGGAGGCAGCAGUGAGGAAUAUUGGUCAAUGGGCGUAAGCCUGAACCAGCCAAGUAGCGUGCAGGAGGACGGCCCUAUGGGUUGUAAACUGCUUUUAUGCGGGGAUAAAGUGGCCCACGUGUGGGUUUUUGCAGGUACCGCAUGAAUAAGGACCGGCUAAUUCCGUG
This 489-nucleotide ribosomal RNA is filed under the name uncultured bacterium. RNAcentral's name for it is "partial 16S ribosomal RNA". It matches the Rfam family "Bacterial small subunit ribosomal RNA", at positions 28 to 507 of the family's 1533-position model. The record is from RNAcentral.